This 947-nucleotide ribosomal RNA is filed under the name Omphalotus olearius. Its description in RNAcentral is "LSU rRNA". It matches the Rfam family "Eukaryotic large subunit ribosomal RNA", at positions 38 to 964 of the family's 3401-position model. Lineage: Eukaryota; Fungi; Basidiomycota; Agaricomycetes; Agaricales; Omphalotaceae. The record is from RNAcentral.
GCAUAUCAAUAAGCGGAGGAAAAGAAACUAACAAGGAUUCCCCUAGUAACUGCGAGUGAAGAGGGAGAAGCUCAAAUUUGAAAUCUGGCAGUCUCUGGCUGUCCGAGUUGUAAUUUAGAGAAGUGUUACCCGCGUUGGACCGUGUACAAGUCUCCUGGAAUGGAGCGUCAUAGAGGGUGAGAAUCCCGUCUUUGACACGGACUGCCAGUGCUUUGUGGUGCGCUCUCGAAGAGUCGAGUUGUUUGGGAAUGCAGCUCUAAAUGGGUGGUAAAUUCCAUCUAAAGCUAAAUAUUGGCGAGAGACCGAUAGCGAACAAGUACCGUGAGGGAAAGAUGAAAAGAACUUUGGAAAGAGAGUUAAACAGUACGUGAAAUUGCUGAAAGGGAAACGCUUGAAGUCAGUCGCGUUGGCCAGGGAUCAGCCUUCCUUUCGGUUGGUGUACUUCCUGGUUAACGGGUCAGCAUCAGUUUUGACCGUUGGAUAAAGUCUAGGGGAAUGUGGCAUCUUCGGGUGUGUUAUAGCCUUUAGUCGUAUACAACGGUUGGGACUGAGGAACUCAGCACGCCGCAAGGCCGGGUCUUUGACCACGUUCGUGCUUAGGAUGCUGGCAUAAUGGCUUUAAUCGACCCGUCUUGAAACACGGACCAAGGAGUCUAACAUGCCUGCGAGUGUUUGGGUGGAAAACCCGAGCGCGUAAUGAAAGUGAAAGUUGAGAUCUCUGUCGUGGAGAGCAUCGACGCCCGGCCCAGACCUUCUGUGACGGUGCCGCGGUUGAGCAUGUAUGUUGGGGACCCGAAAGAUGGUGAACUAUGCCUGAAUAGGGGUGAAGCCAGAGGAAACUCUGGUGGGAGGCUCGUAGCGAUUCUGACGUGCAAAUCGAUCGUCGAAUUUGGGGUAUAGGGGGCGAAAGACUAAUCGAAACCAUCUAGUAGCUGGGUUCCUGCUGA